This 1526-nucleotide long non-coding RNA is filed under the name Heterocephalus glaber (naked mole-rat). Its description in RNAcentral is "lncRNA (ENSHGLG00100035968.1)". The stretch from base 193 to 340 matches the Rfam family "U1 spliceosomal RNA". The record is from RNAcentral. Lineage: Eukaryota; Metazoa; Chordata; Mammalia; Rodentia; Bathyergidae.
UCUCUCACACAGCGGAAAACGGUCAGAUUCCCCUUCUCUCCCCAAUUCUGCUUUUUAACACCAAGAAACCAGGGGAGAGCGCGAACGCAGUCCCCCACUACCACAAAUUAUGCAGUCGAGUUUCCCACAUUUGGGGAAAUCGCAGGGGUCAGCACAUCCGGAGUGCAAUGGAUAAGCCUCGCCCUGGGAAAACCACCUUCGUGAUCAUGGUAUCUCCCCUGCCAGGGCGAGGCUUAUCCAUUGCACUCCGGAUGUGCUGACCCCCUGCGAUUUCCCCAAAUGUGGGAAACUCGACUGCAUAAUUUGUGGUAGUGGGGGACUGCGUUCGCGCUCUCCCCUGGUUUCUUGGUGUUAAAAGCAGAAUUGGGGAGAGAAGGGGAAUCUGACCGUUUUCCGCUGUGUGAGAGAGAAACGUCAGGCGUCUUUUUCCCCACUUCGACUUGCUCGUUCUUUAGAAGCUGGUGUCGGAGAUGGGACUAUGUUAAGAAGUGUUUACGCGGGCCUAAUUUCACAGGUGGCCUACGGCUCGCUCGCCUUAAAGGUGUGCUGUGCGCGGCCGUCUGUUGGUAGGAAUGGGCAGUUUACGAGGUGAAGAGACCAAAGACUCGGGAGGAACGAGAGUUUCUAUCCACUCCAGAGCGGAACACGUUUUUCAUGGACAGUUUUGCUGAGGGUUUGAGACCGGGUAUCUUUAGGAAGCAAGGUAAAGGAACAGUUGCUAAGGUCGCUGGGUGUCCAGGGAGUGCCGUGCUGCCCACUAUAGUCUGCGGAGGCUGGCUGAGCAGGUUCGGUUUUGUGCUUUUUGGACUUGUUACACCUGAGUAAGUUGAGUUUCUGUCGACGUGCUUGGCACAAUCGAAACUGUAUGUAGCUGUAGCUUAUUCUUCUGCGUUUUUACGUCAGUGAGGCAUUAUGUGAGGUCACACUUACUGUGCUGUUGACCGUUUGAGUUGUGGGACAAAAAGUGUAGGCCGGGUGCUGCAUAGGGGCGAGGCCGCGAUGAGUUGAGCGAAGCUGAAAGCGGAUGGUUUUCCAGGUGCAAGGGCUGGAGGUCGGAGCUGGGUGUUUUCUGCAGCUCUCGCGAGGUUUUCAGCUAGGCGAGAGAAGCGGCGUGCGCCGUUUGGUUCUGGCGCAGCCGGCGAGUUUGCUUCGAGGCUGGGCCGCUCGUGGUCAGGUGCGGCUUUCGCGCGAGGUGGUUGCUCCUCGGUCAGCCGCUGUUUACCGGCGGCUGGGCCGAGGCGCCCGUCCCGGCCACGCAGAAGCCACAGACUCCGAUGAUUCGGCCCGCCUUCCUGACCAGAGCGUCCCUCCGCUGGUUAUGUGCGAGCCUCGGCCCCGCUGAGCCGCACAGGGCCACGCAGAGAUAGGGCAACUACUCACGAGCCGUGGUCCUGUAUACUCUUCACGCUUAACUUUUCCCGGCAUCUACUGCGAGGCGGUCUCUGGUGGACUCCUAGUUUUUUCUUUUCUCUUCUUCCUGAGCUCUACCCUCACAGCCCAGCACCACCCCUCUGGUUGAAACCUGG